AAGUCGUAACAAGGUUUCCGUAGGUGAACCUGCGGAAGGAUCAUUAACGAAUUGUAAAGGAGGUUGAUGCUGGCUUUUUUUACGAAGGCAUGUGCUCGUCUCCGACAAUCCUUAUCCAUACACCUGUGCACCUCUGAGGGGUUUUUUCCGUUUGGUUUUAACCCCUCUUUUUAUCACAAACCCCUUCUUAUAACAUUGAACGUGAAUUAGUGCCGUUAAGGCCUUAAAACAAAAUACAACUUUUAACAACGGAUCUCUUGGCUCUC
This 266-nucleotide unclassified non-coding RNA is filed under the name air metagenome. RNAcentral describes it as "partial contains small subunit ribosomal RNA, internal transcribed spacer 1, and 5.8S ribosomal RNA". The stretch from base 1 to 46 matches the Rfam family "Eukaryotic small subunit ribosomal RNA", at positions 1786 to 1831 of the family's 1831-position model. The record is from RNAcentral.